UGGGGAAUAUUGCACAAUGGGGGAAACCCUGAUGCAGCGACGCCGCGUGAAGGAAGAAGUAUCUCGGUUUGUAAACUUCUAUCAGCAGGGAAGAUAGUGACGGUACCUGACUAAGAAGCCCCGGCUAACUACGUGCCAGCAGCCGCGGUAAUACGUAGGGGGCAAGCGUUAUCCGGAUUUACUGGGUGUAAAGGGAGCGUAGACGGUGUGGCAAGUCUGAUGUGAAAGGCAUGGGCUCAACCUGUGGACUGCAUUGGAAACUGUCAUACUUGAGUGCCGGAGGGGUAAGCGGAAUUCCUAGUGUAGCGGUGAAAUGCGUAGAUAUUAGGAGGAACACCAGUGGCGAAGGCGGCUUACUGGACGGUAACUGACGUUGAGGCUCGAAAGCGUGGGGAGCAAACAGG
Molecule: ribosomal RNA, 404 nt
Filed under: Acidobacteriota bacterium
Lineage: Bacteria; Pseudomonadati; Acidobacteriota
Description: Acidobacteria bacterium partial 16S ribosomal RNA
Rfam family: Bacterial small subunit ribosomal RNA
Source: RNAcentral